GGCAAAUCCUGAAAGGCCGUUACAAUAGAUAUUUCAAAAACACGACUGAAGAUGAGCCGUCUCCUCAAUUUUUGAAAAAGCCAUCAAGUAGUUUUUUAUGAUGCUAAGAGGACAAUUACAUGGAGCAAUUUCAACCCGGGCUUAGUUUCAGCCUGUUUGUCGUGCUGAAAUUUCAGCAAGGUUCUGUUACAAACAGAAUGUAAAAUAAAUAAAUAUUAAUACAAUAUAAUAUAGAUGAAAUUAUACGUGAUAUAAUUUAGAUAUUUAUAUAAUAUAUGUAUUUAUAUUUACAAUAUUUAACACCGGAUCCAAAGCAAAGUACAUACUUUUGAAGCGUUA
Molecule: long non-coding RNA, 339 nt
Organism: Xenia sp. Carnegie-2017
Lineage: Eukaryota; Metazoa; Cnidaria; Anthozoa; Malacalcyonacea; Xeniidae
Exons: 2
Source: RefSeq, a predicted model, not a curated record